This is a small nuclear RNA of Alexandromys fortis (reed vole), 104 nucleotides long. The record is from RefSeq and is a predicted model, not a curated record. NCBI's taxonomy places the organism in Eukaryota, Metazoa, Chordata, Mammalia, Rodentia, Cricetidae.
GCUUGCUUCAGCAGCAGAAUACCAAACUGCAAUAAUACAGAGAAGGUCAGCAUGGCCCCUAUACAUGGAUGACAUGUGAAUUCAUAAAUGGUCAAUCAAUACUU